UGCCAGACUCCUACGGGAGGCAGCAGUGGGGAAUAUUGCACAAUGGGGGAAACCCUGAUGCAGCGACGCCGCGUGAGCGAUGAAGUAUUUCGGUAUGUAAAGCUCUAUCAGCAGGGAAGAAAAUGACGGUACCUGACUAAGAAGCCCCGGCUAACUACGUGCCAGCAGCCGCGGUAAUACGUAGGGGGCAAGCGUUAUCCGGAUUUACUGGGUGUAAAGGGAGCGUAGACGGUCCUGCAAGCCAGAUGUGAAAGCCCGGGGCUCAACCCCGGGACUGCAUUUGGAACUGUAAGGCUAGAGUGUCGGAGAGGCGGGCGGAAUUCCUAGUGUAGCGGUGAAAUGCAUAGAUAUUAGGAGGAACACCAGUGGCGAAGGCGGCUUGCUGGACUGAAACUGACGCUGAGGCUCGAAAGCGUGGGGAGCAAACAGGAUUAGAUACCCCUGUAGC
RNAcentral lists this ribosomal RNA (448 nucleotides) under uncultured bacterium. RNAcentral describes it as "bacterial SSU rRNA". It matches the Rfam family "Bacterial small subunit ribosomal RNA", at positions 329 to 794 of the family's 1533-position model. The record is from RNAcentral.